CUCAAGGAAGAAGCAACAGCCCCGCCAUCAGCACCCAAAGCUGACAUUCUAACUAAACUAUUCCCUG
RNAcentral lists this transfer RNA (67 nucleotides) under Martes zibellina (sable). RNAcentral's name for it is "tRNA-Pro". The record is from RNAcentral. Lineage: Eukaryota; Metazoa; Chordata; Mammalia; Carnivora; Mustelidae.